CUCUUCCCAUCUAACAACUUUAAUAUACGCUAUUGGAGCUGGAAUUACCGCGGCUGCUGGCACCAGACUUGCCCUCCAAUAGAUCCUCGUUAAAGGAUUUAAAUUGUACUCAUUCCAAUUACGGGGCCUCAA
Brassica oleracea var. oleracea is the source of this 132-nucleotide long non-coding RNA. RefSeq lists it as uncharacterized. The record is from RefSeq and is a predicted model, not a curated record. Lineage: Eukaryota; Viridiplantae; Streptophyta; Magnoliopsida; Brassicales; Brassicaceae. The transcript is spliced from 3 exons.